Molecule: long non-coding RNA, 160 nt
Organism: Gopherus evgoodei (Goodes thornscrub tortoise)
Lineage: Eukaryota; Metazoa; Chordata; Testudines; Testudinidae
Exons: 3
Source: RefSeq, a predicted model, not a curated record
UUCUUUUCCUAUUUUAGCCUCUGAUCCUACCUCAUUUUCACUAGCAUUCACUACGUUAGACAUCUAAUCACCACCAACCUCCUUGGUGAAAAUCAAAAUAAAGAAGUCAUUAAGCACCUCUGCCAUUUCCACAUUUUAUGUUAUUAGAACAGGAGUCCUU